RNAcentral lists this transfer RNA (58 nucleotides) under Calumma tsaratananense. RNAcentral describes it as "tRNA-Ser". The record is from RNAcentral. Lineage: Eukaryota; Metazoa; Chordata; Lepidosauria; Squamata; Chamaeleonidae.
GAAAGGAGUAUAAGAACUGCUAACUCUGAUCACUGGUAUUAAUCUAUCAGGCCUUUCC